RNAcentral lists this ribosomal RNA (468 nucleotides) under uncultured bacterium. RNAcentral describes it as "partial 16S ribosomal RNA". It matches the Rfam family "Bacterial small subunit ribosomal RNA", at positions 28 to 507 of the family's 1533-position model. The record is from RNAcentral.
GACGAACGCUGGCGGCGUGCUUAACACAUGCAAGUCGAACGGAAAGGCCCUGCUUUUGUGGGGUGCUCGAGUGGCGAACGGGUGAGUAACACGUGAGUAACCUGCCCUUGACUUUGGGAUAACUUCAGGAAACUGGGGCUAAUACCGGAUAGGAGCUCCUGCUGCAUAGUGGGGGUUGGAAAGUUUCGGCGGUUGGGGAUGGACUCGCGGCUUAUCAGCUUGUUGGUGGGGUAAUGGCUUACCAAGGCUUUGACGGGUAGCCGGCCUGAGAGGGUGACCGGCCACAUUGGGACUGAGAUACGGCCCAGACUCCUACGGGAGGCAGCAGUGGGGAAUAUUGCACAAUGGGCGGAAGCCUGAUGCAGCAACGCCGCGUGCGGGAUGACGGCCUUCGGGUUGUAAACCGCUUUCGCCUGUGACGAAGCGUGAGUGACGGUAAUGGGUAAAGAAGCACCGGCUAACUACGUG